Molecule: long non-coding RNA, 2865 nt
Organism: Numida meleagris (helmeted guineafowl)
Lineage: Eukaryota; Metazoa; Chordata; Aves; Galliformes; Numididae
Exons: 8
Source: RefSeq, a predicted model, not a curated record
CAGAGGUAGAUUUUUCCUUCAUAGCGUCUGGUAUGAUUAUAUGUUUUGGCUUUAGGAGAAAAAAACAAGGUUGUUACCACACCAAACUUUUAAUUGUUGCUGCGCAGCACUGUAUAGAGCCAAGGACAUUUCAGUUUUUCAGCUUCAUGUACUGUCCUGACAGUGAGGGGAAUUGAAGGGGCACAGGGAGCUGGGAGGGGACAGACCCAGGACAGCUGACCUAAACUGGCAAAAGGGAUAUUCCACACCAUAUGAAAGUGUGCAAGAAGAACUUGAAAGUGUAAAUGGAUUUUGUCUCAACACAUGAGUUCUACUUUGUUGUUUCUUUUAACAAUACUCUACUCCACCCCACUUGGGAGGAGGGAUGGAAGGACUUCUCAUUAUUACAGAAGAGAUCUGUUGAUGGGAAAUGAUCCUGUUCAACUUACUAUGACCUGCUUUACCAGGUGUUCCCUGAGAGGCUAUUGUUGGAGACGUUAACUUUUAGUGGAAUGACAGCCAUUAGGAGGCCAAGAAGAGGUUCUCUUGUUGUAAGAUUUCUACCAUGAUAUAUGAGAUGAAAAUAUAAUUCACAUCUUAUUACGCCUGUGGGAAAAGAAAGUAAUUACAUGCAUUUUCAUCAAACCUAUCAAGCAACAGGGAAAAAGUUUCACUUUAAAGCCAGGAAGAAGACAGUAUUCUAGUGACUUAGCCUACAACUUGCUGACAAUUUUAGUUUACAUCAGGACAAUGGAAUUGAAUUAGGAAAGAUGUUCUCUCAUAAUGGUUUGCAUGCACAUUGUGCUGGGCGGUCCUAGGCACAAAGAAGUCUAACCUGUGGGAGUGUGGAAUACCUCCCACAGGAUGCAGCCCAUCAUCAACGGAUCCACAGGCUGAAGUCCUUCAAGAACUAUUCUAAUAUGGGUACCAUGGGACUCAUCCUUCUGGAAUGGACUGCUCCAGCAUGGGUUCCCCAUGGGCAGUUUCACCACAGGCUCCUCUCCAUGGGCUACAGCUCGAGCCUGAGGAUGCUUCUGUGGGGUCUUUCCAUAGGCUGUACCCCCUUCAGGCCUCAUCCACUGCUGCACCAUGGGCUUCUACAUGGCUGCUGGGGAGAUCUGCUCCAUGUAGUGAUCAUGGACUACAAGGGGACAGCCUGCUUCUCCAUGGACCUCUCCUGGGAUCCAGGGAGCUUCUGCUCUGUGCCUGGAGCACCUCCUGCCCUCCUUCUGCACUGACCUGGAUGUAUGCAGGAUUGUUUCUCUCACACUUUCUCAGUCCUCUCUCCCAGCUGCUGUUGCACAGCAGUUUUUCCCUUUCUUAAAUCUGCUCUCCCAGAGGCACACCCAAGCAUUGCCCAUGGCUCAGCUCUGUCCAGUGGUUGGUCCCUUUUGUGGAUGUCUAGAGCUGCCUCUGAUUUGACAUGGGGCAGCUUUUGGGUUCUCACAGAGGCCACCCCUACAACCUUGUUCUGCUACCAAAACCUUGCCACAUAAUCCCAUACAAUAUAUUUAAGUAUAAAUAUGUAUUCUUAGUGGGGGACCUUCAUCUAGCUCAGCCAGAGAGGGAAGCAGGACAGGUGUAUUGUUGCUGUCUGUGUUCAUGUAUAUAUGUGUAUGUAUAUGGCAUACAUGUGUUGUCUACGCGCUUAUGCCUACUGUGACUGUAUCUUCAGUCUUGCUACUUUUUUUGUACAUCAAGAUCUGGAGAUGCAGUAGCUUCUCUUAGACUGUCAAAUCCAGUGGGAGAAUAUGUCUUCCCCUAAUAUUCAGCAUUUAACAAAGCUGAUUCCUAUCCUUACCAUAUUUCACAGGGUUUCUGGUGUCUAAUUUAUAGUUAUGUUACCACAACCACUGUCAGCAUUAUGAAAACAUUAAUUUUUUAGAGUAGAUCCUCUGCAAAAUAUUCAUAAGCUGGUCUUUUAAAAUCAUUGUAAUUGCUGUUCCUCAACACAAAACUGAAUUGAAACUUCUUCCCAUAUUAUUUGUGUUUGAUUCACAUUGUUUAUACUGAUUUUUUUUUUCACCACUAGAUUUGCAGUCUCUCAAUAGUUUUCUUUGGACAGGUGUGAGAAGCAAAUAGAACUGGUCAAUCUUUACUUUCUUCUUCAUAUUAAAAUGUGCCUGUGAAUCUUCUUCCAUGGAAACUAAAUAAGGCAGAAAACUGUACAAAAAUAUCACCUGCAGCUGAAUUAAAAAAAAAAAAAAAAGAGCUUACAGUAGUGCAACAACUUUCUAAAGGAAGUAACAGGCACUCAGUUUCAGCAAUCUGAGUCAGACAGUUCAAUGACCUGAGAGCAUAUUAACAGCUGCUAGAUAGGCAUCAGAACCUCUGUAUAGAACAGAUGGAGCUUUCUUUUCAUGAGGUGCUCUAAGUAGACUGCAUCCAACAAGCAGCCUCGCUAUGAAAGAUGUAACAAAUAGAGCACCACAUCUUGAAUGUGUGUAUGUGUUCUCACGGGCAACUUGUUCCUGUGUGUGGGCAGGUUUUGGGGAACUGGAUGGGUAUAGAGCAAGAACACCCCCUUAUCUCCCAGGAAAGUUUUAUGAUAGCAGAGGAAUGCACAUUCACAGGAAAGGGGGAUGUGCUCUUAAUCAACAUGCCAUGUAGAGAGUAUGUAUAUGAAUGUAACUAAAUGUGAGAGGUGGCUUAGAAUGUUUUGGGACCAGUUAUAAGAAGGUAUUUAGGAGUGUGUGGUAGUUUGCAGAAAAGUUGUAUGCUAUACUGUACUGUUGAUACUAAUUCUGAAUGCAUAGUGCACUGAUUAGCAGUUGAGUGUCAUUAAUAAAUCAAUAAACUGCUUCAAUGCCUGAUUUGACUUAAACCAUGUGCAACAGUUUGUCCCUGUGACACAUUCUGGUAAGCUUGCCAUGGAUCAGCAAGACU